CUAUCCAUUAUAUAUACACACAUCAUAUACACACACAUUACUCUCUCUCCCCUCUCUCUCUCUCUCUCUCGACGGCACAGAGAUCUCGAUCAGUGAUGCCCUUGCCCCAAACAAGUCUUCACUUCUAAUCAAUCACCGGUUCUGUCUUCAAUUUCUGGAUUUUCGACUUUUGAAGAUUACCGAAGCAAGUUUAUCUUGAAAACAUCAUGGCUAUUGAUGCUGUUGUGUCGGAAUCAGCCCAUGUGUCUGUUGAGAAUGUGAAGAAAGAGAGCAGUGCGAAUGGGCAUGUUGGUGAAAAUGAAUCCGGUCCUCACGUGAGUGAAUUAUAGUCUAUGUUAAAAAACACAGUGCCAUACUAAAGAUAUGAUGCCAAUUAUAACAACACUAACUGAUAUUCUUUGCCAUUAAGUGCAACAUCUAGUGAACCUUCUACAUAAUAAUAACAAUCUUCUCUUGGUUUUAAAAA
Molecule: long non-coding RNA, 466 nt
Organism: Helianthus annuus (common sunflower)
Lineage: Eukaryota; Viridiplantae; Streptophyta; Magnoliopsida; Asterales; Asteraceae
Exons: 2
Source: RefSeq, a predicted model, not a curated record